RNAcentral lists this ribosomal RNA (789 nucleotides) under uncultured bacterium. RNAcentral describes it as "bacterial SSU rRNA". It matches the Rfam family "Bacterial small subunit ribosomal RNA", at positions 8 to 796 of the family's 1533-position model. The record is from RNAcentral.
AGAGUUUGAUCCUGGCUCAGAUUGAACGCUGGCGGCAUGCCUAACACAUGCAAGUCGAACGCUAGAGGACUUAGGUUUUCUGGAGUGGCGGACGGGUGAGUAACGCGUAGGAAUCUGCCUUGAAGUGGGGGAUAACUUGGGGAAACCCGAGCUAAUACCGCAUGUUACCUGAGGGUGAAGGAGUGGGACUAGAAAUGGCCACUUGCUUUAAGAUGAGCCUGCGUCGGAUUAGCUAGUUGGUAGGGUAAAGGCCUACCAAGGCGAUGAUCCGUAGCUGGUCUGAGAGGAUGAUCAGCCACACUGGGACUGAGACACGGCCCAGACUCCUACGGGAGGCAGCAGUGGGGAAUAUUGGACAAUGGGGGCAACCCUGAUCCAGCGAUGCCGCGUGUGUGAAGAAGGCCUGCGGGUUGUAAAGCACUUUAGUGGGGGAGGAAGGGGAGCAUUCGAAUAGGGUGCUUCAUUGACGUUACCCCAAGAAUAAGCACCGGCUAACUCUGUGCCAGCAGCCGCGGUAAUACAGAGGGUGCGAGCGUUAAUCGGAAUUACUGGGCGUAAAGGGCGCGUAGGUGGUUUAAUAAGUCGUAUGUGAAAGGCCCGGGCUUAACCUGGGAAUGGCAUAGGAUACUGUUGAGCUAGAGUAGAGUAGAGGGAAGUGGAAUUUCCGGUAGCGGUGAAAUGCGUAGAUAUCGGAAGGAACAUCGGUGGCGAAGGCGGCUUCCUGGACUCAUACUGACGCUGAAGCGCGAAAGCGUGGGGAGCAAACAGGAUUAGAUACCCUAGUAGUCC